Molecule: ribosomal RNA, 592 nt
Filed under: uncultured bacterium
Lineage: Bacteria
Description: partial 16S ribosomal RNA
Rfam family: Bacterial small subunit ribosomal RNA
Source: RNAcentral
UGGGGAAUUUUGGACAAUUGGGCGAAAGCCUGAUCCAGCAAUGCCGCGUGUGUGAAGAAGGCCUUCGGGUUGUAAAGCACUUUUGUCCGGAAAGAAAUCCUUGGCUCUAAUACAGUCGGGGGAUGACGGUACCGGAAGAAUAAGCACCGGCUAACUACGUGCCAGCAGCCGCGGUAAUACGUAGGGUGCAAGCGUUAAUCGGAAUUACUGGGCGUAAAGCGUGCGCAGGCGGUUUGCUAAGACCGAUGUGAAAUCCCCGGGCUCAACCUGGGAACUGCAUUGGUGACUGGCAGGCUAGAGUAUGGCAGAGGGGGGUAGAAUUCCACGUGUAGCAGUGAAAUGCGUAGAGAUGUGGAGGAAUACCGAUGGCGAAGGCAGCCCCCCUGGGCCAAUACUGACGCUCAUGCACGAAAGCGUGGGGGAGCAAACAGGAUUAGAUACCCUGGUAGUCCACGCCCUAAACGAUGUCAACUAGUUGUUGGGGAUUCAUUUCCUUAGUAACGUAGCUAACGCGUGAAGUUGACCGCCUGGGGAGUACGGUCGCAAGAUUUAAAAACUUUAAAUUGAAUUGACGGGGUCAUAGCUGUUUCCU